ACUCAUUCUCCUCUGUCCAG
This 20-nucleotide microRNA is filed under the name Homo sapiens (human). RNAcentral's name for it is "hsa-miR-6758-3p". The record is from miRBase by way of RNAcentral. Lineage: Eukaryota; Metazoa; Chordata; Mammalia; Primates; Hominidae.